CAAUAGCGUAUAUUAAAGUUGUUGCGGUUAAAAAGCUCGUAGUUGGAGUUCUGCCAGGUGCCGCCUGUCCGCCCCAGUGGUGAGUACGUGGCGCGCAUUUGGCCCUUUCAAGGGGAGCGUAUCUGCACUUUAUUGUGUGGUGCGGGAUCCUUGACUUUUACUUUGAGGAAAUAGGAGUGUUCCAAGCAGGCUCUCGUCGUGCACAGCUCAGCAUGGAAUAAUAGCAUUGGACCUCGAUUCUAAGCUGUUGGUUGCCAGAAGCGAGGUAAUGAUGAAGAGGGAUAGUUGGGGGCAUUCGUAUUUAACUGUCAGAGGUGAAAUUCUUGGAUUUGUUUAAGACGGACUACUGCGAAAGCAUCUGCCAUGGAUGUUUUCAUUGA
This 380-nucleotide ribosomal RNA is filed under the name uncultured eukaryote. Its description in RNAcentral is "partial 18S ribosomal RNA". It matches the Rfam family "Eukaryotic small subunit ribosomal RNA", at positions 592 to 976 of the family's 1831-position model. The record is from RNAcentral.